GACGAACGCUGGCGGCGUGCUUAACACAUGCAAGUCGAACGGAAAGGCCCUGCUUUUGUUGGGUGCUCGAGUGGCGAACGGGUGAGUAACACGUGAGUAACCUGCCCUUGACUUUGGGAUAACUUCAGGAAACUGGGGCUAAUACCGGAUAGGAGCUCCUGCUGCAUGGUGUGGGUUGGAAAGUUUCGGCGGUUGGGGAUGGACUCGCGGCUUAUCAGCUUGUUGGUCGGGUAGUGGCUUACCAAGGCUUUGACGGCUAGCCGGCCUGAGAGGGUGACCGGCGACAUGGGGACUGAGAGACGGACCAGAAGCCUACGGGAGGCAGCAGGGGGGAACAUUGCACAAUGGGGGGAAGCCUGAUGCAGAAGUGCCGGGUGCGGGAUGACGGCCUUUGGGUUGUAAACCGCUUUCGCAUGUGACGAAGCGUGAGUGACGGUAAUGGGUAAAGAAGCACCGGCUAACUACGUG
Molecule: ribosomal RNA, 468 nt
Filed under: uncultured bacterium
Lineage: Bacteria
Description: partial 16S ribosomal RNA
Rfam family: Bacterial small subunit ribosomal RNA
Source: RNAcentral